This 471-nucleotide ribosomal RNA is filed under the name uncultured bacterium. RNAcentral's name for it is "bacterial SSU rRNA". It matches the Rfam family "Bacterial small subunit ribosomal RNA", at positions 33 to 507 of the family's 1533-position model. The record is from RNAcentral.
GACACGCUGGCGGCGUGCCUAACACAUGCAAGUCGAGCGGAGAUGUACUGAAGAUUUAUCGGAUGUACAUCUUAGCGGCGGACGGGUGAGUAACGCGUGGGCAACCUGCCUUUCACUGGGGGAUAACACAGGGAAACCUGUGCUAAUACCGCAUGACAUCACGUAGGGCAUCCUAUGUGAUCAAAGGAGAGAUCCGGUGGAAGAUGGGCCCGCGUCCAAUUAGCUGGUUGGUGAGGUAAAGGCUCACCAAGGCGACGAUUGGUAGCCGAACUGAGAGGUUGAUCGGCCACAUUGGGACUGAGACACGGCCCAGACUCCUACGGGAGGCAGCAGUGGGGAAUAUUGCGCAAUGGGGGGAACCCUGACGCAGCAACGCCGCGUGAAGGAAGAAGGUCUUCGGAUUGUAAACUUCUUUGAUGAGGGACGAAUAAAGUGACGGUACCUCAAAAACAAGCCACGGCUAACUACGUG